GGAGUUUGGGCCGUGUCUCAGUCCCAAUGUGGCCGGUCAUCCUCUCAGAUCGGCUACUGAUCGUCGUCUUGGUGGGCCGUUACCCCGCCAACUAACUAAUCAGACGCGGGUCCAUCUCACACCACCGGAGUUUUUACCCCUGUGCCAUGCGGCACUGUGGUCUUAUGCGGUAUUAACAGUCGUUUCCAACUGUUAUCCCCCUGUGUGAGGCAGGUUACCCACGCGUUACUCACCCGUCCGCCACUAAGUUAUAAAAAUCCAUCCGAAAACUUCAUUCCAUAACUCCGUUCGACUUGCAUGUGUUAAGCACGCCGCCAGCGUUCAUC
This 326-nucleotide ribosomal RNA is filed under the name uncultured Moryella sp. RNAcentral describes it as "partial 16S ribosomal RNA". The record is from RNAcentral. Lineage: Bacteria; Bacillati; Bacillota; Clostridia; Lachnospirales; Lachnospiraceae.